GACGAACGCUGGCGGCGUGCUUAACACAUGCAAGUCGAACGGAAAGGCCCUUCGGGGUACUCGAGUGGCGAACGGGUGAGUAACACGUGGGUGAUCUGCCCUGCACUUUGGGAUAAGCCUGGGAAACUGGGUCUAAUACCGAAUAGGACCACGCGCUUCAUGGUGUGUGGUGGAAAGCUUUUGCGGUGUGGGAUGGGCCCGCGGCCUAUCAGCUUGUUGGUGGGGUAAUGGCCUACCAAGGCGACGACGGGUAGCCGGCCUGAGAGGGUGACCGGCCACACUGGGACUGAGAUACGGCCCAGACUCCUACGGGAGGCAGCAGUGGGGAAUAUUGCACAAUGGGCGCAAGCCUGAUGCAGCGACGCCGCGUGAGGGAUGACGGCCUUCGGGUUUAAACCUCUUUCACCAGGGACGAAGCGUAAGUGACGGUACCUGGAGAAGAAGCACCGGCCAACUACGUG
This 461-nucleotide ribosomal RNA is filed under the name uncultured bacterium. Its description in RNAcentral is "partial 16S ribosomal RNA". It matches the Rfam family "Bacterial small subunit ribosomal RNA", at positions 28 to 507 of the family's 1533-position model. The record is from RNAcentral.